UAUAUAUAUAUAUAUAUAUAUAUAUAUUUAAAACAGCUCGGGAGUUAUACCCAAAAGUUAUACCAGGAGGCUUUCUAAUUGAACCUGUAAGUAAAAACCUAGACCCCUGAAACCCUACUGUGCAUGAAAAAUCAAGAAAUCAAGAUUCCUGGUGCUCAGGCGGGCCGCGUAAAGAAUAGGCAGAAGGUCACGCGGGCCGCAUCAACAUGUGUUUGACCGGAUAAGCGUUCCCAGGCCACGUGGCAUCCACCUGGCAAACCUACUGGUGACCCAGUAACCCUACGCGUAGACUAGGUCACCACGCGGGCCGCGUAAGGGUCGAGCCAAGGCACACGCGGGCCGCGUGAGACCCAAUUUCCAGCUAUAAAUAGAGCGGGUCUUGAGCAAUUCACUGGUGUCGACGAAACUUUCAAAAUCAAUCAUAUUCUGCUCAAAUUUUACCUUCAAAUUGGUAGGGUGCUACUACGAUAUAGGGUAAUUACAGUAGAUCGGAAUAAGAGCUGGAUACGGCACCAAAAAGGCUUAUAGAAGUGGCUUGAUUUAUCAGUUAAUUAAAAUUAAGAAAAGUUGUUUUAUGUAAUCGGGUUUAUCCCAUAUUAAAAGCUACCUUUAUGAAAUGUGGGUUUAUCCCCAUCUGUGUAAAUAAAUAAAAUCCGGUGUUUCUAAAACUCUAAUAUUUUUCCUAACUCACGGUCCUGAUGAAAUUUCCGCUGCAAUGUUUUUAAAAUAACCACCGGUACCACUUGGCUGCUCACGGCUCCCGAUUCCGUCCAGGGUGGGGUCGGGGGUCGUGACAACCAUUAAUCUAGUUUGGACCUAGGUACAGAGGGUUAGAUCCAAUGUGUUUUGGCAAGCCCCACUCUUGGUCGUAGACCCAUACAGAAGAGUGCGUUUGUGUCCCAGUCGAUGGUAGUCGACACGAAAUCGUCUAGGUUUGGAUUGCUUCCUAUUUCAUCACACAUAUUAAUGUCCUUGCAAAACAUUAAUGAUCAACGAUUUCAUUUGAUGCUUUACAUACUACAACUUACAUUUUAAAUACAUCUUUUAUAACUAACUGCAUGAAUUCGCCAACUUUUGUUGAUGUUUUCCAAACUUAACAUGUAUUUCAAGGAAUUAAUGGACCAUGUCGGGAUUCAUAGUCAAGAUAACAAGUACCGGAACUCCAUGCCAUCUUUUGGAGGGUUUAUCUAUUAUAUCCCGCCUCUUUGCGGCGAUAUGAUGGUUUAAACCUUAGUAGUUUUUUUUCAUUUUGAUGUAUGAAACAAUAACACUUUACUUUUAUGUUAAUGGUUUGUAACCGAAACACUAAACUCAUGAUGUAAUGUUUUGAAACACUUAUGUAAUGGCAAUGGAGUAUGUUUUAUUCA
Long non-coding RNA from Helianthus annuus (common sunflower), 1367 nucleotides. RefSeq lists it as uncharacterized. The record is from RefSeq and is a predicted model, not a curated record. NCBI's taxonomy places the organism in Eukaryota, Viridiplantae, Streptophyta, Magnoliopsida, Asterales, Asteraceae. The transcript is spliced from 2 exons.